UGGGGAAUUUUGGACAAUGGGCGAAAGCCUGAUCCAGCAAUGCCGCGUGUGUGAAGAAGGCCUUCGGGUUGUAAAGCACUUUUGUCCGGAAAGAAAUCCUUGGCUCUAAUACAGUCGGGGGAUGACGGUACCGGAAGAAUAAGCACCGGCUAACUACGUGCCAGCAGCCGCGGUAAUACGUAGGGUGCAAGCGUUAAUCGGAAUUACUGGGCGUAAAGCGUGCGCAGGCGGUUUGCUAAGACCGAUGUGAAAUCCCCGGGCUCAACCUGGGAACUGCAUUGGUGACUGGGCAGGCUAGAGUAUGGCAGAGGGGGGUAGAAUUCCACGUGUAGCAGUGAAAUGCGUAGAGAUGUGGAGGAAUACCGAUGGCGAAGGCAGCCCCCUGGGCCAAUACUGACGCUCAUGCACGAAAGCGU
Molecule: ribosomal RNA, 416 nt
Filed under: uncultured bacterium
Lineage: Bacteria
Description: partial 16S ribosomal RNA
Rfam family: Bacterial small subunit ribosomal RNA
Source: RNAcentral